AGUCGAGGGGCAGCAUUUUAGUUUGCUUGCAAACUGAAGAUGGCGACCGGCGCACGGGUGAGUAACACGUAUCCAACCUGCCGAUAACUCCGGGAUAGCCUUUCGAAAGAAAGAUUAAUACCGGAUGGCAUACGAAUAUCGCAUGAUAUUUUUAUUAAAGAAUUUCGGUUAUCGAUGGGGAUGCGUUCCAUUAGUUUGUUGGCGGGGUAACGGCCCACCAAGACUACGAUGGAUAGGGGUUCUGAGAGGAAGGUCCCCCACAUUGGAACUGAGACACGGUCCAAACUCCUACGGGAGGCAGCAGUGAGGAAUAUUGGUCAAUGGGCGAGAGCCUGAACCAGCCAAGUAGCGUGAAGGAUGAAGGCUCUAUGGGUCGUAAACUUCUUUUAUAUGGGAAUAAAGUUUUCCACGUGUGGAAUUUUGUAUGUACCAUAUGAAUAAGGAUCGGCUAACUCCGUGCCAGCAGCCGCGGUAAUACGGAGGAUCCGAGCGUUAUCCGGAUUUAUUGGGUUUAAAGGGAGCGUAGGUGGAUUGUUAAGUCAGUUGUGAAAGUUUGCGGCUCAACCGUAAAAUUGCAGUUGAAACUGGCAGUCUUGAGUACAGUAGAGGUGGGCGGAAUUCGUGGUGUAGCGGUGAAAUGCUUAGAUAUCACGAAGAACUCCGAUUGCGAAGGCAGCUCACUAGACUGU
This 689-nucleotide ribosomal RNA is filed under the name uncultured Bacteroidales bacterium. RNAcentral describes it as "bacterial SSU rRNA". It matches the Rfam family "Bacterial small subunit ribosomal RNA", at positions 60 to 737 of the family's 1533-position model. The record is from RNAcentral. Lineage: Bacteria; Pseudomonadati; Bacteroidota; Bacteroidia; Bacteroidales.